RNAcentral lists this ribosomal RNA (486 nucleotides) under uncultured bacterium. RNAcentral's name for it is "partial 16S ribosomal RNA". It matches the Rfam family "Bacterial small subunit ribosomal RNA", at positions 30 to 507 of the family's 1533-position model. The record is from RNAcentral.
AUUGAACGCUGGCGGCAUGCCUUACACAUGCAAGUCGAACGGCAGCACGGGUGCUUGCACCUGGUGGCGAGUGGCGAACGGGUGAGUAAUACAUCGGAACAUGUCCUGUAGUGGGGGAUAGCCCGGCGAAAGCCGGAUUAAUACCGCAUACGAUCUACGGAUGAAAGCGGGGGACCUUCGGGCCUCGCGCUAUAGGGUUGGCCGAUGGCUGAUUAGCUAGUUGGUGGGGUAAAGGCCUACCAAGGCGACGAUCAGUAGCUGGUCUGAGAGGACGACCAGCCACACUGGGACUGAGACACGGCCCAGACUCCUACGGGAGGCAGCAGUGGGGAAUUUUGGACAAUGGGCGAAAGCCUGAUCCAGCAACGCCGCGUGUGUGAAGAAGGCCUUCGGGUUGUAAAGCACUUUUGUCCGGAAAGAAAUCCUUGGCCCUAAUACGGUCGGGGGAUGACGGUACCGGAAGAAUAAGCACCGGCUAACUACGUG